GUCUGUUUCUUUUUGGUUGAGUUUUGCUUUGGAUUCAGCUUCUCUGUAAUUUUGACUCCCAUCUAUAACAUGAAGAUACCAAUUUACUUCUUGUGGGACUGUUGGAAGAUAAUCAUUAACGGGAGCAAGGCAUUCAGAUAUUGUGAGCGUGGCGAUGUAAGAGUUAGAGAGAUUCCCUAGAUGGGAGUGGGGCUUUGGAGAUCUCUUUACAUGCUGUGAGAAGUCCUGUGGUGGACUCAUCUUUGUGUUAUUUAAAAAACAAAACAAAACAAAACAAAAACUGUACAGCUGUUACUCCUAGACUCUAAAAUUUAUCCACGUUUGUAAAUCUCAGUCCUGGACUACUAUGCAAUUCAUCAGAUUGAUUAAGAAAAAUGAAUAGAAUAGUAUUGAAACUCUAGUGGCCACAUUUAUCUGUAAUCUAAUGGUACUCACUUUUUCCUGUCUCUGGAAAAGUUGCAUGUUCUUGCUGCUGGCUUUCAAGGUCUCAUGUCUUUGGCUGCUGAAAAUCUGUGCAUUGCUGUUCUUCUGGAGUACUCAUGGAAAGGUGAUUACUUCCAAAUGGUUCUUCCAGAAACACUUCGAUGACUACCUGUAAAAUGUUAGCUGUACAUUCUUGUUAACAAAACUUUGAAACAUUUAACAACUUCAGUUUGUAGGUAUCCUGGUAGUUCUCAGACGUAAGGUGGAUGAGAACAACGAUAAAUGAAAAAAGGAAAACCAAGAUUUUUGAAGUAACAUUCUUAGAGGGAACACCAUUUCUGAGCAGUCAGAGGUAUAAUGUUUAGGUAAGUUAAUUCAGUUGCCAUCUGAGAGAACUGAAAUUGAAUGUCUGAAAUAUAAGACAGGAGACAAACAAAUGGCAAUAAAGAAGCUGAAAUUGCUAUGGGGAAGAUCUUGUGAUAAAAGGAAUAUGCAGAAAUCAGAUGGUAGAAGUGGUAUGUGAGGAUGAAUCUGGAAGGCCUUCCCAAGGAGGAAUUAUCUUAUAUAGUGUUCCAAAAAAAAACCCCAAAACUGUCACCAGAUGAUUAGUUUGACUUUGAUGGUGAUGCCAUUCUUGAGUUCUUACUGAAGUAUACAGGCAGAAUUAUUUAAGCGGAUCAGUGCUUUUCUGUAUCUGUACUUUAAGAAUAAGGCCUUAUCUGGAGACUUAAAAUAUUCCAGAUUUAAUUGGAGAAUUCUGUGUGUAUAAAGUGCUUGACUAUGAAAAUAAUGAAAUAGGCUUGUAGGAAUAUCCGUAGAUUAUGAACAUGUGAUUGUAAAAUGUAUUGCAUAUUGCAAGAAUUUACAUGCAAACUUUCAUGUUUUGGUGGGGUUUUUUUGUGUACUUUCUCUAACUUGCACUGAUUAAUCAAUGUUUUUCAAAAUACCUCUUGCAGGUGUAGGCUUAAAAAGGGCAGUUAUUUUCUCUAAAUUGUGUCCCAUCUGGCUGUUGUGCUUCUCACUUCUGUUGUAGAAGUUCAGAGCCCACAGGAACUCUGAGC
This 1484-nucleotide long non-coding RNA is filed under the name Aquila chrysaetos chrysaetos. Its description in RNAcentral is "lncRNA (ENSACCG00020007878.1)". The record is from RNAcentral. Lineage: Eukaryota; Metazoa; Chordata; Aves; Accipitriformes; Accipitridae.